AGCAUGUGGUUUAAUUCGAAGCAACGCGCAGACCCUUACCAACCCUUGACAUGGAUAUCGAGAUUUCUGGAGACAGAUUUCGUCAGUUCGGCUGGAUAUCACACAGGUGCUGCACGGCUGUCGUCAGCUCGUGUCGUGAGAUGUUCGGUUAAGUCCGGCAACGAGCGCAACCCACGUCCUUAGUUACCAGCAUUUAGUUGGGUACUCUAGGGAGACCGCCGGUGAUAAGCCGGAGGAAGGUGUGGAUGACGUCAAGUCCUCAUGGCCCUUACGGGUUGGGCUACACACGUGCUACAAUGGUAGUGACAAUGGAUUAAUCCCCAAAAGCUAUCUCAGUUCGGAUUGGGGUCUGCAACUCGACCCCAUGAAGUUGGAAUCGCUAGUAAUCGCGUAACAGCAUGACGCGGUGAAUACGUUCCCGGGCCUUGUACACACCGCCCGUCACACCAUAGGAAUUGGGUCUACCCGAAGGUGGUGCGCCAACCUACUUGUAGGAGGCAGCCAACCACGGUAGGUUCAGUGACUGGGGUG
This 531-nucleotide ribosomal RNA is filed under the name uncultured bacterium. RNAcentral describes it as "bacterial SSU rRNA". It matches the Rfam family "Bacterial small subunit ribosomal RNA", at positions 936 to 1482 of the family's 1533-position model. The record is from RNAcentral.